CGGCGGACGGGUGAGUAACACGUGGAUAACCUACCUAUAAGACUGGGAUAACUUCUGGAAACCGGAGCUAAUACCGGAUAAUAUAUUGAACCGCAUGGUUCAAUAGUUAAAGACGGUUUUGCUGUCACUUAUAGAUGGAUCCGCGCCGCAUUAGCUAGUUGGUAAGGUAACGGCUUACCAAGGCAACGAUGCGUAGCCGACCUGAGAGGGUGAUCGGCCACACUGGAACUGAGACACGGUCCAG
Molecule: ribosomal RNA, 244 nt
Filed under: uncultured Staphylococcus sp.
Lineage: Bacteria; Bacillati; Bacillota; Bacilli; Caryophanales; Staphylococcaceae
Description: partial 16S ribosomal RNA
Rfam family: Bacterial small subunit ribosomal RNA
Source: RNAcentral